UGGAGCAUAUGUUUUCAGUAAAUUUCCUUGCUAAAACCUUCUCCAUAUGAUCAUUAAUUUAUGAUAAGGUAAGGACUAAAAGAGAGGUCAGGGAUGACGUCAGAAAUAGGCACAUCUGGGCAUGUAUAUCCCCACCAAUCCACCAUCCCUAUACGUAUUAAUAUUAUGGUUCACUAGUUUUCGUUGGAAGCAGUUAUCAUCACAAGCACCUGAGUUUCUGAGUUCUGAAACAUGGAAACAUGGUUGUUGGUGGUGGUUUCCGCAUGCGUGUGUCUCCUCAUCAGAGCAAUAAUAAUAACUCUUACCAGCAGCAGUCACAAGAGCCAGGCCCGUCCUCGUCUUCCCCCGGGCCCACCACACAUUCCUAUCGUAACCAGUGUCGUCUGGCUCGCUAAAUCAUUCUCCCAAAUCGAGCCCAUCCUCGUCGGCCUUCGGGCCAAGUACGGGCCCGUCAUCACACUCCGCAUCACUACCCGGCCUGCCAUCUUCGUGGCGGAUCGCUCCCUGGCCCACCAGGCACUCGUCCAGAAGGGAGCCGUCUUCUCCGACCGGCCCCCUGCCCUAACCGUCUCCCGCAUACUCACCUGCAACCAGCACAACAUCAACUCCGCACCCUAUGGCCCCACGUGGCGCUCCCUCCGCCGCAACCUCACCACUGAGAUGCUGCACCCUAACCGCAUCAAAUCGUUCUCUUCAGUCCGUCGCUGGGUCCUCGACGUCCUCCUCAACCGCCUCAAGUCCGAUUCCGAAACCACACACUCCGUCAGAGUCAUCGAUCAUUUCCACUAUGCCAUGUUCUGCUUACUCGUCUUCAUGUGCUUCGGCGAAAAGUUGGACGAAAAGCAAGUCAAGGACGUGGAGCGUGUUCAGCGAGCGUUGCUUCUUGCAGUUAAUAGAUUCAACGUCCUCAAUUUCUGGCCAAUAAUCACUCGGAUUCUCUUCCGGAAUCGGUGGCAGGAGUUCUUUAGGCUUAAGGAGGAGCAGAGUGAUGUCUUGAUUCCGCUAAUUAGGGCUAGAAAGUGUGCAACGGAACACCGCGGUGGUGGUGGCGGUGACGGUGGCGGUGAUGUUGUUUCUUAUGUGGAUACUCUGUUGGAUUUAGAGUUGCCGGAGGAGAAGCGGAAAUUGAAUGAUGAAGAAUUGGUGACGCUGUGUUCGGAGUUCUUGAGUGCCGGUACGGACACGACGGCCACGGCGCUGCAGUGGAUUAUGGCGAAUGUGGUGAAGUACCCGCACGUGCAGCAGAGGCUUCUAGAAGAGAUUAGAGAGGUGAAGGGUGAGAGUAGAGAGGAGGUGAAAGAGGAGGAGCUGCAGAGGAUGCCGUACUUGAAGGCCGUGGUGUUGGAAGGGCUGCGGCGCCAUCCUCCGGGGCACUUUGUGCUGCCGCAUGCUGUGACGGAGGACGUGGUGUUGAAUGGUUACUUGGUGCCGAAGAAAGGCACGGUGAAUUUCAUGGUGGCGCAGAUAGGUUGGGAUCCCGAGGUGUGGGAGGAUCCCAUGGCAUUCAAGCCGGAGAGGUUCUUGGAGAAGGAGAAGGAUUUCGAUAUCACGGGGAACAAGGAAAUCAAGAUGAUGCCAUUUGGAGCUGGGAGGAGGAUCUGUCCUGGCUUUAAUCUAGCAAUGCUCCAUUUGGAGUACUUUGUGGCCAAUUUGGUUUGGAAUUUCGAUUGGAAGGUGCCCGAUGGAGAAACCGUUGAUUUGUCUGAAAAGCAGGAGUUUACUAUUGUCAUGAAGAAUCCAUUGCAUGCUCAUAUUACUUCUAGGAUCUGAAUGGAGGACCCUUAAUAAAGGUGAUACUUUUGAUCACAAUGAUGUAGUAGUUGGUCCAAAUAUUGUGAAUUUUAUAUAAUUCGUGUGUAAAUAAUGACACUGUUUCUCAGUUGUUAUUAAGAAGAAUCAUUUUGAGCUUAUUUUUGGUUUACCACUGGAUGAGCUUAUUUGUUCUGCAUCUAGCAUUUCAUUAUCUUCCUACACCCUUUUCCCAAACAAGAGUAUGUGCUGCAACAGUAGAAGUAAUGGAAUAAUGGUGCAGGGACUUUCUGGCAUGGAUACGUUUUUAUCUGUUAAUAUAAACAUAUCGUUUCUGUAUAGAUAGAUUGACAUUUUUUAUGUAUCAAAUUGCUCGAAAUGAUGUUUAUUUUGAAAUACACGGAAAAUUUCACUGUA
This is a non-coding RNA of Arachis ipaensis, 2166 nucleotides long. NCBI's taxonomy places the organism in Eukaryota, Viridiplantae, Streptophyta, Magnoliopsida, Fabales, Fabaceae. The record is from RefSeq and is a predicted model, not a curated record.